AUGGACGGGGCUGACACGCCGCGGCGACAUUUCGCUCUUGUCGCUCACACGAGUCACGUCACGAUGCUGGCCUGGCGCGGUGUCUUUCUUUCUCUUCUCCUCGGCAGAGCUUUGGCUCUCACGGUAACGCAAGAUAAGCUCUCUGUGACCAAAGGGCCGGGCAAGACGAUCCGAAUAAGAUGCACGACGGACGGCAACCCCAUUCACUGGUAUCGACAAAAAGACAACGGGGCCUUAGAGCGAAUGCUGUACGUAAACUCGGGGACCCCAAGCUACGACUCCGCGGAUUACCAGAAAUUCAGAGCUGAGGACGGAGGAUCAACUCUGCAUAAAGACAGCGCCGAGGCGGACGACGAGGCGACAUAUUACUGUGCUGUAUGGGACACUCACGGUGACAGAGACCGCGGGGACACCCGCACAAAAACCGAUGAGACUUGUCCAACUACCGGAGACACCUCCGCUGUUUAUGAUGAGAGGGUGGCCUUAAUGUCAUCGUCGUGUCCUGCCAUCUUAUAA
Non-coding RNA from Erpetoichthys calabaricus (reedfish), 516 nucleotides. NCBI's taxonomy places the organism in Eukaryota, Metazoa, Chordata, Cladistia, Polypteriformes, Polypteridae. The record is from the annotation of a RefSeq genome assembly.